GCCCUGUCGCGCGGCGCCUCGCUCUCCGUCGGACACUGCGGAGGGGGGGUUCCGGGGUGUCCUCAGUGCCACUAAGGCUUUCCUCCAUUAGGGAACAAGGCCCGCCAUUGUGGCAGCGAGUGCGAUGCUGUCGGAGAUGGAACCCCCAGGAGCUGCUCAGGUGCAACCAGAGUCCGGAACAGAAUGAAAAGGCCAUCUUGGACAUCGGGGUGACCCACCUGAGACAGUUUGUGACACGCCGCUGAUUUCUGUCAGGCAAAUGUCCAGAAGCGAAAUAAAGCGGAAUAAAGAGAGCGCCCACGAAGGGCGUGUGAGAUCUGAGACUCCUCUGCCGCUCCUCAAUGAGUGCAAGUCGGCUAACGAAGGCGCUGAAUGCAGCAGAAACCUCAUCUGCGGGCCAGGCCCUGGGCCUUUCUUCCCCGGCCAUUCUCCACGUCCACAGCUGGCCUCUCCUCCGCCGGGCCUCCGCUGCGAGGAACAAAACCCCCUCUGUGACUCUCUGUCCUCCCUUUCUUCCCCGGAGUAGCUCUCCUUACUGGUGAUUAGCGGGUGAUUAAACCCAAUUCAGCUCCCCCGGCAGAUACCACACAGCCCCUUCCUCCCCCCGACACCCCCUCCGCUCCCUGCUCUAGCGGUUGCCCCUAUUGCUCCCGCACACACACUGACACACCAGCACCCACCCCCCCCCCCACCACUGCUGCCUUUCGGCCCGAGUUUUUGACUGCGCUGCCGGUUCUCAGUGAUCGUGAUCCUAAGCUUAUUAACA
Scleropages formosus (Asian bonytongue) is the source of this 766-nucleotide long non-coding RNA. RefSeq lists it as uncharacterized. The record is from RefSeq and is a predicted model, not a curated record. The transcript is spliced from 4 exons. NCBI's taxonomy places the organism in Eukaryota, Metazoa, Chordata, Actinopteri, Osteoglossiformes, Osteoglossidae.